GAUGAACGCUGGCGGCGUGCCUAAUACAUGCAAGUAGAACGCUGAAGGAAGGAGCUUGCUCUUUCCGGAUGAGUUGCGAACGGGUGAGUAACGCGUAGGUAACCUGCCUGGUAGCGGGGGAUAACUAUGGGAAACGAUAGCUAAUACCGCAUAACAGUAGAUGUUGCAUGAUAUCUACUUAAAAGGUGCAAUUGCACCACUACCAGAUGGACCUGCGUUGUAUUAGGUAGGUGGUGAGGUAACGGCUCACCAAGGCGACGAUUCAUAGCCGACCUGAGAGGGGGGACGGCCCCCCUGGGACUGGGACACGGCCCAGACUCCUACGGGAGGCAGCAGUAGGGGAUCUUCGGGCAUGGGCGGAAGUCUGACCGGGCAACGCCGCGUGAGUGAAGAAGGUUUUCGGGUCGUAAAGCUCUGUUGUAAGGGAAGAACGAGUGUUGGAGUGGAAAGUUCACGCUGUGACGGUACCUUACCAGAAAGCGACGGCUAACUACGUG
Molecule: ribosomal RNA, 497 nt
Filed under: uncultured bacterium
Lineage: Bacteria
Description: partial 16S ribosomal RNA
Rfam family: Bacterial small subunit ribosomal RNA
Source: RNAcentral